RNAcentral lists this unclassified non-coding RNA (87 nucleotides) under Pseudomonas fragi. Lineage: Bacteria; Pseudomonadati; Pseudomonadota; Gammaproteobacteria; Pseudomonadales; Pseudomonadaceae. The record is from RNAcentral.
UGUGGGAGCGGGCUUGCCCGCGAUUCAAGCGACUGGGUACAUCUGAUGUACCGAGGCGUUGCAAUCGCGGGCAAGCCCGCUCCCACA